Molecule: ribosomal RNA, 500 nt
Filed under: uncultured Glomeromycotina
Lineage: Eukaryota; Fungi; Glomeromycota
Description: partial small subunit ribosomal RNA
Rfam family: Eukaryotic small subunit ribosomal RNA
Source: RNAcentral
CCAAUAGCGUAUAUUAAAGUUGUUGCAGUUAAAAAGCUCGUAGUUGAACUUCAGGCCUGUCCAGAUGGUCCGCCUUAAUUGGUGUGUACUGUCCUUGGGUGGGUCCUACCUUCUGGCGAAGCGGCAUGGCCUUAGUUGGUUGUGUUGGGGAACCAGGACUUUUACUGUGAAAAAAUUAGAGUGUUCAAAGCAGGCAUAUAUGCUCGAAUACAUUAGCAUGGAAUAAUGGAAUAGGACGAUGGUUCUAUUUUGUUGGUUCUAGGACCGUUGUAAUGAUUAAUAGGGAUAGUUGGGGGCAUUAGUAUUCAAUUGUCAGAGGUGAAAUUCUUGGAUUUAUUGAAGACUAACUACUGCGAAAGCAUUCGCCAAGGAUGUUUUCAUUAAUCAAGAACGAAAGUUAGGGGAUCGAAGACGAUCAGAUACCGUCGUAGUCUUAACCAUAAACUAUGCCGACUAGGAAUCGGGCGAUGUUGACAAAAUGACUCGCUCGGCACCUCAUG